Populus nigra (black poplar) is the source of this 1185-nucleotide long non-coding RNA. RefSeq lists it as uncharacterized. NCBI's taxonomy places the organism in Eukaryota, Viridiplantae, Streptophyta, Magnoliopsida, Malpighiales, Salicaceae. The transcript has 2 exons. The record is from RefSeq and is a predicted model, not a curated record.
CCCCAAGAAGAUGUUGUGUCCCUCUUGUUACAGCUUCUAGAGGCCGUCUAUCAAAUGCCCGAAAGCUUCCUGAUACCACAUAGACACGGCACAAACUGAAUUCAUGCCUCAACUGCAUUCAAGUGGACAGCCAAAUAAUGUCGGAGCUUUUCCUAUAUAGAACACCAUGGUUUUCUUCAAUCCAAUCACUCGAUUAUCCGAUGAGUAAACAUAACCAGGUGAGCCUGUGGCCUUCCAGUACCCGGUUGCUGUAGUCCGAUUAGGUCGCCCUCCCCUAGCUUCUCUCGCUUGCCUGGGUGUAAAGAAGAACCACUGCUCCGCGUUGCCUCGACAUAAUUCUCCUGAAAGCUCUGCAACAUAUUGCAAGAGACAAACUAAAGUUACUUGAAGCAUUUUUAACAGUCCUGUGCCAUGCUUAUCAGUAGUUAAAAAAGAAAAGAAGUGGAUGAAAAAGAUUUUUACGUGGAAGAUCCCCCGGCUCGAUGUCGUAUAUGCUGAUCUCUGGAAUCACACGUUGCAGUUCUUGUCUCGUCCCUUCCAGCUUAUUAUGCAAGUAGAAGGAGACUAGCUCUUCUUCCGUUGGGUAGAAGCGGUAACCUAGAGGGAGUUCUUCCAUUCUUGCACUUGUUGUUCUUGUGUUUUGAUACUCCUUUUGUUUGCCCGAGCUGUGUAUGCUUAUAUACACACACACAGAGAGACACUUUGUCGAUGGAAAAAAGAAGAAGAUGGAUUUGCCGAGUGAAAUGAGAAAAAAAUGCAAAGUCUGUGAUUGGUGGAAACUUCCACGCGGUUGCAAGGAGAUGAAGUUUUUAUCCUAUGAUGCUGAUACACUUGUCUAAACAUUAUCUCUCGUCCAAUGAAAUCUCUUUUGAACAAGUCAGUGCACCUUUCCGCUUCUCCAUUGCCUCUCUGUCAGACAGUUUUCAAGGGGUGGUGGGGCUUGUUUUUGCUGUGAGGAGCAGACAAGCUGGUCCUUGUCCUUGAGGGCUGUAUUCGCUGUAUUUUUGCACCAAUGCCCUUUUCCUUGUUCAGUAAUCAAUACACGUGUUAAGGGCACUCCUGUUUCAAUUUGAUCACUGUAUUAACACAAGCUGCGGUCUCUUUCGCUCUUACCUUGAAUGCCAGGUGAGGUGACGCUAACGUGAGCUUUGCUGCUAAUUAAGUGCGUUUUGCUGAUUUUUUGAA